UACGUAGGGGGCAAGCGUUAUCCGGAUUUACUGGGUGUAAAGGGAGCGUAGACGGUAUGGUAAGUCAGAUGUGAAAGCCCGGGGCUCAACCCCGGGACUGCAUUUGAAACUAUCAAACUGGAGUGCAGGAGAGGUAAGUGGAAUUCCUAGUGUAGCGGUGAAAUGCGUAGAUAUUAGGAGGAACACCAGUGGCGAAGGCGGCUUACUGGACUGUAACUGACGUUGAGGCUCGAAAGCGUGGGGAGCAAACAGGAUUAGAUACCCUGGUAGUCCCUGAG
Molecule: ribosomal RNA, 278 nt
Filed under: uncultured prokaryote
Description: partial 16S ribosomal RNA
Rfam family: Bacterial small subunit ribosomal RNA
Source: RNAcentral